RNAcentral lists this long non-coding RNA (1308 nucleotides) under Homo sapiens (human). Its description in RNAcentral is "non-protein coding lnc-SUGCT-9:1". The record is from RNAcentral. Lineage: Eukaryota; Metazoa; Chordata; Mammalia; Primates; Hominidae.
AUUGUGUCUGAGUUUCCUCACUGAAUGAAUCUCACAGAUGAUCUCUCAGAGCUGAGUUUCCUGGGUUUACAGAUCCUUAAGGAAAAUUCAUUUCUGCUCCUUCCUAUGGAAGACUUGCCUUUCCAAUAGCUGUGAGGUGCAACAUUAUUGCCAUGUGCACUAGAAGUCCUGCCAUCCAAGCUGGAAAAGGAAGAAACAUAGUUGGAGGAAAACCCCAAAUGGAUAAAGCAAUCUGCAGAGCCUAACUAUUUUACCGAUGCCCUAAUUUCUAACUUCCAGAAUAUACAUUUUUAUUUUUGAAAAGCAAACUUUGCUGCUUGAAUCUAGUUUGGAUCUAGGUGGUUUGGGGCAGCCUGCCAGGCUCACAGAUUAAGUGAAAGUCAUUACAAAAUGUUUUUACGCACAUGGGAAUCACAGGGAUUGUUUGGUGCUAGUUUGGCUCUCCACCAUUAAUUUUAAUUAUCUCAAAAUGCAAACAUGCUGAAAUUUCCAGCAGAUGACAUUAUUUUCUCCUUGACAUCAGACAUAAAAGGAAGAAAAAUAAACAUACGACAGUGACAACAUUAAGCUGGUAGGCAUUUUUCUUUAAUAUUUCAAAUUCAAUUCCAGACCAGAUUCUCUGUUUUGUCCUAGAGAUUAGGGUAGGAAGAUUGUCGUCUUGGUCUGAUGAAAGCCUUGCCUUUCCAGUUAGCUUAAUUAAAGGAAAAAGGGAGGAAGCCAGGAGGAGAACAGUCUGGUUUAGAUCAGGGUCAGAGGCUUGGUUUUUACAAACACACCACAGAUUCUUGUUGUUUUAUGUUUUCAACAUUUUUCUGGUUCUUGGUAGAAAGUCCAGUUCCGUUUUCAAAAUGAACUAACCCCGUAGGUCCAGUGACUUGGCACUUUUUUUAAGUGUUUGGUGUUUCUGAUGACAGCAGACCAGAGCCAGGAAGAUUGUGUAGGUUCCCACAUAGUCUCAGGACACGGAGAGAUGAUGGGUAGCUACCAUGGUAAACUAGCAAUGUGGGUACCCUAGUUCUCAAGGUCUAUAACUAGUACCAGAAUUAGAUCAUUUAUCAAAACUUUCUUACACCAUUUAAAAAUUAAUGUGUAAAUUCUAUCUGCUGUGGAGACUAUGUUCAUGCUAAGUCUCUUUACUUCCUCUUGCUAUGUAAUAUGUCGUUUACUGUAUAUUACAAGAAAUGCUAAGUGUGUUCAGCUAUAUACCUAGGGUAACCAACUCAUCCUGACUUGUCUGGGACUUUCCUCAUUUGCCUAAGACCUUUCUGGUUUUAACACUGAAAGUCCUCCAUCCUGGGAAAUCCCUCC